This 395-nucleotide long non-coding RNA is filed under the name Anser brachyrhynchus (Pink-footed goose). Its description in RNAcentral is "lncRNA (ENSABRG00000009816.1)". Lineage: Eukaryota; Metazoa; Chordata; Aves; Anseriformes; Anatidae. The record is from RNAcentral.
UUUAUUGUUUAAUGGUAUGGUAGAUAUCAAUCUGCUUCCAUUUAGGAAAAGAAAAGCAGUGGUUUUGUUGUGAAAACUGCUUUAUGUGAUGUGAUAAGAGCUCAUAUUCCCAUCUGGCAAGAGGGAGCAGAACAUUCAAAUUAUUUUAGCUAGCCCUGUGUUACUAGUGGGAAAGGGAAUGAAACAUUGCUAUGGAAGUAAGUGAAUGCCUUACACUGAAGAUGUCAAAUGUGGAGUUGACAGCCAGGAUCCUCAACUACUGUACACAGUUUUGGACAAUUACUGGUUAAUACAGAAAGCUUAGCAGAGGAGGACGUACUUUAACCUGUCUUUCCCAGAUGGGAGAUCUGAGGUACAGGGAUAACGAAUGACCAGCUGAGGUAAGAAGCCUCCCC